GAGAGCGUGAGCCAAUGGUUAGCCUGCGCGCGCUUCUCACUUUGUGGGUUGCCAUCUCAGCUAAUACUUGUCGUUAUUAACACGGAAUGUUUCCUCAUUUCUUAUCGCGUGCCUGAGGUGAGAAGGUGAACAGACAACAGUGCCCUGCUUAGUGUGUGUCAGGUGUUUUAAGCGUGUCAGAGUGAGAGAAGGAGUGUAAAGGGUGAAGGAGAUAAAGAGGGAGGGAAGGACAGACGCCAUUUCCUUCAUUUACUCCUCCCUCUUCCUUCACUUCCUGCAGGCUCCACUCUCGCCUCUGUUCUGCUGCCGCCGCCUCGUGCCUGGUCGCCCUGUGGUUACCCCCAUUACCCAUCACCCCGUCACCCCAUCACGUCGGAGACACCCUUAAGCCCUUGCGAGAGGCUCAGGGGGGUGGCAAAGGGAGUACUGCAGGGGGAUAGACCUUUUCUUUUUGGGGUCUUGAGGGAUGCGCUGAGCUCUACCCGUGGACCGUGGACCCUUGCCGCUGCUGCCUGCUCCUGACGCCCCUCCGAGGUCUUGCCUACUGGAUUAGGGUCUGACAUGAGCCGCCGUCAAGCCAGGCUGCAGUGGGUCCAGCUUUCAACACACGCGUGGAUUACAGCGGACCUCGCCAGCUCACACAUCCAUCCGCUAAUGCCCAUUAUGCGCCGGCGGUAAUCGCAUGGACAUAACGGAAGGCAUAAAUAAGGACAAAGGUGUGAAGGCCGGGAUGUGGGAUGGUCAGGUGUGCGGGGCGACAGGUGAGGCGCGGCGGGUUUGACCACUCACCGGUAAUUAGUCCGCGGCACGUGUGUUACCUGCGCUGUCAGUUCACGCAAGCUUUGUGCCGGCUCUGUAAGGUUCUGGAAGGUCAUUUCUCCGUACUCUGUUUCCUGCAAAUGUCAUGGAAGGUUUACUGUCAUGUACGCGUGGCCGCCCUGCUGGAGCCUUCCCCUCUCUCUCUCCCCUCGCUGCGCCACAAGAGAGAGAGAGAGAAACCACAACGACAACCAUUCCUUCAUCCGUAUACCGUAACUGGCCUUACAUAUACGUGUACUGUCGACAGGAGGGGAACGAAAACAAACAAGAAUGACACACGUUGGAACAUGUUGAGGUUCUGUAUAUACCCUUACACUACAGUGGGAGGGACUGGAAUUGCUGGAAGAGACUGGAAUGAGAGUGAAACGGUCUGGAAGGGAAAUAGAGAAAGAUGAAAGGAUAAGAAUGAAGAUAGAAAUGGGAAUAAAGACACAGAUGAGAGUAGAGAUGGAACAGGAUGAAUAGAAAGAACUGGAAAUUAGUAGAAAGAGACUGGACAGGACUGGAAGGGAAGUUGUGAGAGAUGGAAGGGAAAGGAGACAGAAAUAGAACAAAAACAAGGAUCGGAGUAAAGAUCAAACAAAAUGAAUAGAGAGGAACUGGAAGGGACUGGAAAGGAAAUGUGGUGAGAUGGAAAAGUAGGAAGGGAGACGAAAAUAAACCAGAAAUAGGGAUGACAGUAAGGAUGGGACAGGAGGAAGAGAAAGAGACAGAAAAGGAACUGGAAAGAGAAAUAAUGAGAGAUGUGAUGAGGACAGGAGGAAGAGAAAGAGAUGGAAAAGGAACUGGAAAAUAACUGGAAAAAGAAAUAAUGAAAGAUGUGAAGGUAGAAAGACUAAGAAUGAGACAAGAGGCAAAAUAACUCCUAGAAAUGCGCUGAAAAGGAAACCACGAGAAAUGGAAGGCUACGGAUGAGAGAGAGAGAGAGAGAGAGAGAGAGAGAGAGAGAGAGAGAGAGAGAGAGAGAGAGAGAGAGAGAGAGAGGAGAGUAAGGGUGGUGAUAGUAGUGGUGGUAGUGGUGGUAGUGAGGGUGGUGGUGCAGCAUCAUAUAUCUUCUCUAUCUGUGGUGCUGCUCGUGGGACCUUGGCAGUGGGGCGCGUGGGAGGGAGACAAAUAGGAAGACACAUUUAUUCGGACACUGGGAGAUGGACUUAGAUUGUGCGACUGGCCUGAGGUAGACAGGCGUAGGUUAGGACACUGCCACACACACGUAAAGUUGAAGUUUCUGGCAAAGGGGGAGGCAGGGAAGGGAAAGGAGAGAGGCAGAGUGGAUGAAUGUAUAUAUUUGUACCCAGGAUUGAAGGACUCAUGGAAAGAAAGUUUGAAAUUGAGGGUUUUUGUAAGGGAGUCUUUGUAUGGUGGACGUAUUGUUGAUCUAGUGGGCAGCGUUGGACGAGGUACAUGGAAGUUUUAAUGAAGUUUCAGCGAGGGAGGGAGGGAGGAAGGAAAGAUGUGUGUGUUUGUACCCAUAUCUGAAAGAGUGGAAGUUUUCUGUACCAGUUUCUUGAGUUUUUAUAAUCUAGGCAGGGACUUUGAUUAGGUGAACUUUCAAGGAGAGAGGCAAAGACGCGUAUGAGAAGCUGAAAGAAAUGGAUGACAGAAACAUUUUGUAUAACCUAAUAUUCCUAUUAUUGGGACAAUUUAAAGCUUAUGGACGCUGAUUUGAUAAGAUACAGGAAUUUCAGGGAAGUUUCUAAGAGGGAGGAAGGAAGUAAAUUAGAAGGGAUACAUAUCAAAAACUACCAAAAAAUUAAGGAGUUUGUAUAUGGAAAGAUGAAAGAACUAAAGAAAAUCAUAAGAAAUUAAACAUCGCACCGGCUUUUCAUUCUAUUUUUUGUUGGUCUUUUGCGUGAUUUUGAUAAGUGCUAGAAAUUGCAAUGAAGUUUCAGGGAAGGAAGGAAAUAUAUCUACAUUGGUGUCCCGAAACAUUUCAACCAUUGUAUAGCAUAUUUUUCCCCCCUUUUCCCCUCUUUUAUGCAAUUUCUGACAAGUGUAAUGAUGCUUCAGGAAGGAAAUAAGGAAAAUUGUCUAUGUUUAUAUAAAAGAAAAAAAAAAACACCAAAUCUUAUAGAAACUCAGUGAAUGGACAUCUUAUGUAACCUAUUUUCGUCAGACGCUGUUAAUCCGAGAGGCAUUUUUUCAGGAAGGUACCGUAACAACACAAACACACAAUGGACAUUCACUUUACUAUACCAAACACAGAGGGCAGCAGCAGUCUUGUAGCGGCAACAAUAGAAGCAUAGAGUAGAGCGUUUCUAUAGAAGGUUAUACUAAAGGUUUUUUUUUUUUUUUUAAGCCGAGUACAAGUGAAGGACUGCAGUGAGGAGUGAGGCAUGGGUAGGUCAAAGGUCGUAGAAUUUAGACAUAGAUAUAAGAGUGAGUGAUGAAAUAAGAGAAAUAAGAGAAAUAAGUGGAUGAGUAGAAUGAAUAUAUGAAUGAGUAAAUGAGGAAUAGUAGAAUGAAUACACUAAUAUGAAGUAGGUAAGUAGAAUGAGAAAAAAAAUAGUAGAAUGAAAACAAAUAAAGAAAUGAGUAGGCGAUUAAUAGAAAGAGAGAAAAAAAGAAAAUAGAAGGAAUAAGUCAGAAGGAAUGCAAUUGAAAACUCUGAGGGAAAAUAAGUAAAUAAGAAAAAAAGAAAAACUGAAAGAAGAACGAAAACAAGAAAGAGAUAGAUAGAUAAAAAAACGAGAAAAAUAUAAGUAAUUGAAUUUCAAGUAAUAUUAAAAAAAGAUGAAGAAAAAAUUGAUAAAACGCAAAGAAGGACGAAAACAAGAAAGAGAUCGAUAAACACACACACACACACACACACACACACACACACACCAACGAAAAAAAAUAUAUAUACACUAAAUUUCAAGAAGUAACAUUAAAAUACAAAAUUACUCAGACGCAAACCCAGAAAUGACGAAUUAUUAAUAUUACUUCGUGGAAAGGAGAGGAGGAGAAAUUAAUUGACCAGAACCAUAUAUUGUAAAUGUGGCAAAUUGAGUGACUCGCUGGAAUAAGAAAUUGCUUGAAAGAUAAAGAAAAGAAAUUGAAAGGCAGGGACAUAUUGGCGAACCGAGAUAGAACGGAAGAAAGAGAGGGAAAUUAUACCUGAUAAAUCACAGGAAUGGGGGAAGAGGAAGAGGAGAGGACAAGGAUAAAUAUGCUGCCCAGAUUGCUAGAUUACAGAGCGCCAUUUGCAGAGAGAGAGAGAGAGAGAGAGAGAGAGAGAGAGAGAGAGGAGAGAGAGAGGGGGGGGACGAAUAGACUAAAAGAUGAAAGAAGGAAAGAAUUUACGAAGUAGCAUUAAGAAAAAAGUAAAAGGAGAAGAGAAGAAUAAAAGAAGGGGAGGAGGAAGGAAAAAAAGAGUUACAAAAACUUAGAGUGAGAAAAACAGGAGAGAAGAAAAGAAACUUAAACGCCAAAAGAAAGAAAGAAAGA
Molecule: RNA transcript, 4245 nt
Organism: Scylla paramamosain (green mud crab)
Lineage: Eukaryota; Metazoa; Arthropoda; Malacostraca; Decapoda; Portunidae
Exons: 7
Source: RefSeq, a predicted model, not a curated record